Molecule: ribosomal RNA, 301 nt
Filed under: uncultured bacterium
Lineage: Bacteria
Description: partial 16S ribosomal RNA
Rfam family: Bacterial small subunit ribosomal RNA
Source: RNAcentral
CAGUCGCCGCGGUAAUACAGAGGGUGCGAGCGUUAAUCGGAUUUACUGGGCGUAAAGCGUGCGUAGGCGGCUAAUUGAGUCGGAUGUGAAAUCCCUGAGCUUAACUUAGGAAUUGCAUUCGAUACUGGGAAGCUAGAGUAUGGGAGAGGAUGGUAGAAUUCCAGGUGUAGCGGUGAAAUGCGUAGAGAUCUGGAGGAAUACCGAUGGCGAAGGCAGCCAUCUGGCCUAAUACUGACGCUGAGGUACGAAAGCAUGGGGAGCAAACAGGAUUAGAUACCCGUGUAGUCCCUGUCUCUUAUAA